This 356-nucleotide long non-coding RNA is filed under the name Struthio camelus australis. RNAcentral's name for it is "lncRNA (ENSSCUG00000006439.1)". Lineage: Eukaryota; Metazoa; Chordata; Aves; Struthioniformes; Struthionidae. The record is from RNAcentral.
AUGGAGGCGUCAGCUGCUGAGAAGAAAACUCACAAAGGGAAAGAAGAUUUGCAACAAUAUCAUCAGAAACCUGCAAACUGCAAGAAAUUGCUUAGCAAUUGCUGCUUGAUAAAGCGAAUUUUUGCCUGGAAAAGUUUGAGCUCCAAAGGUUCUGAGCUCAACUCUGAAAAAAGUUCAGAAGAUUCUUCCUUUGGCAUCCUAAAGCCCUUUGAUGCAUUUUCCCUCUGAGCUUUGAAAUGCCAGCUCUUUUAUGUACCUAUCAUGUGUUUUAUUAUUCUAAUUAUUAUUAAUAAUAUUGUUUAGUUUAUUAAGAGGCUCAGAAUAAAUUGUCAUUAACUUUCUCUUUUUGCUUUUGU